UUUGAAAUCUCCGGUGCUUGCACCGGCGAGUUGUAGUUGCGAGAAGCACUUUCUAGGCGGAUCGGCUGCGCCUAAGUUGCUUGGAACAGCACGUCGCAGAGGGUGACAACCCCGUCUGUGGCGCGGCCGGCCGCUCACGAUGUGCUUUCGAAGAGUCGGGUUGUUUGGGAAUGCAGCCCAAAAUGGGUGGUAAACUCCAUCUAAAGCUAAAUACUGGCGUGAGACCGAUAGCGAACAAGUACCGUGAGGGAAAGAUGAAAAGAACUUUGAAAAGAGAGUUAAAAAGUACGUGAAACCGUCGAAAGGGAAACGAAUGGACUCAGCAAUGCGCCGUUUGAGAUUCAGCCGGUGGGCGGGAUCGGCGCGGGGUUUGCGGAUUCGAAUGGACCGCGGCUCCGUGCUCGUUUCUCCUCGCCGUCGCACUUCUCUUGGGCGCGCGUCAACGUCGGUCGGAACUGGGUCUGAAAGGCGCCGGGAAGGUAGGUCUGGUCCUCCGGGUCCGGUCUGUUACAGCCCGGUGUUCUCGUGGCUCGGGUCCGACCGAGGAGUUGCAGCGCAUGCCUCUUGUGGCUAGGGUCCCGUCCUUCCGGCCGGUCGUCGAAUGCGGUGGACUGCUUGCAGUGCUCCGCGACCGCUGCCGGUCGUUGGGGUGGUGAUCUCGUACUAUG
RNAcentral lists this ribosomal RNA (668 nucleotides) under Leptastrea purpurea. Its description in RNAcentral is "eukaryotic LSU rRNA". It matches the Rfam family "Eukaryotic large subunit ribosomal RNA", at positions 114 to 617 of the family's 3401-position model. Lineage: Eukaryota; Metazoa; Cnidaria; Anthozoa; Scleractinia; Leptastreidae. The record is from RNAcentral.